This 406-nucleotide ribosomal RNA is filed under the name uncultured bacterium. RNAcentral describes it as "partial 16S ribosomal RNA". It matches the Rfam family "Bacterial small subunit ribosomal RNA", at positions 30 to 526 of the family's 1533-position model. The record is from RNAcentral.
AUUGAACGCUGGCGGCAGGCCUAACACAUGCAAGUCGAGCGAGCGGCGGACGGGUGAGUAAUGUCUAGGAAACUGCCUGAUGGAGGGGGAUAACUACUGGAAACGGUAGAUAAUACCGCAUACGAUCAGAUAUGCACCGAUGGGGUUAGCUAGUAGUGGGGGUAACGGCUCACCUAGGCGACGAUCCCUAGCUGGUCUGAGAGGAUGACCAGCCCCACUGGAACUGAGACACGGUCCAGACUCCUACGGGAGGCAGCAGUGGGGAAUAUUGCACAAUGGGCGCAAGCCUGAUGCAGCCAUGCCGCGUGUGUGAAGAAGGCCUUCGGGUUGUAAAGCACUUUCAGCGGGGAGGCGUUACCCGCAGAAGAAGCACCGGCUAACUCCGUGCCAGCCGCCGCGGUAAUUC